Molecule: ribosomal RNA, 253 nt
Filed under: uncultured bacterium
Lineage: Bacteria
Description: partial 16S ribosomal RNA
Rfam family: Bacterial small subunit ribosomal RNA
Source: RNAcentral
UACAGGGGGUGCAAGCGUUGUUCGGAAUUACUGGGCGUAAAGGGCGCGUAGGCGGCCUGCUAAGUCGGACGUGAAAUCCCUCGGCUCAACCGAGGAACUGCGUCUGAUACUGGCGGGCUCGAAUCCGGGAGAGGGAUGUGGAAUUCCAGGUGUAGCGGUGAAAUGCGUAGAGAUCGGGAGGAACACCAGUAGCGAAGGCGGCCGGCUGGGCCGACCCUGACGCUGAGGCGCGAAGGCGUGGGGAGCGAACGGG